AGUGAACGCUGGCGGCAGGCCUAACACAUGCAAGUCGAACGGAAGCACAGUAAGCGUUCGCCCUUAAGGGUGGCGAGUGGCGGACGGGUGAGGAAUACAUAGGAAUCUACUUUUUCGUGGGGGACUACGUAGGGACGCAUACGCUACUACAGAAUAUGAUCUACGGGAGAAAGCAGGGGAUCUUGGGACUUUUCGCGUCUCAUUUAGACGAAGUCGCAUUAGCUAGUUGGGGGGGUAAAGGCCCACCAAGGCAACGAUACGUAGCUGGUCUGAGAGGAUGAUCAGCCACACUGGAACUGAGACACGGUCCAGACUCCUACGGGAGGCAGCAGUAGGGAAUAUUGCGCAAUGGGCGCAAGCCUGACGCAGCCAUGCCGCGUGAGUGAAGAAGGCCUUCGGAUUGUAAAGCCCUUUUAUUAGGAAAGAAAAACUGCGUAUGUAACCCCCGCUGUUCUGACGGUACCCAAUGAGAAAGCACCGGCUAACUACGUG
Molecule: ribosomal RNA, 492 nt
Filed under: uncultured bacterium
Lineage: Bacteria
Description: partial 16S ribosomal RNA
Rfam family: Bacterial small subunit ribosomal RNA
Source: RNAcentral